UGGGGAAUUUUGGACAAUGGGCGAAAGCCUGAUCCAGCAAUGCCGCGUGUGUGAAGAAGGCCUUCGGGUUGUAAAGCACUUUUGUCCGGAAAGAAAUCCUUGGCUCUAAUACAGUCGAGGGAUGACGGUACCGGAAGAAUAAGCACCGGCUAACUACGUGCCAGCAGCCGCGGUAAUACGUAGGGUGCAAGCGUUAAUCGGAAUUACUGGGCGUAAAGCGUGCGCAGGCGGUUUGCUAAGACCGAUGUGAAAUCCCCGGGCUCAACCUGGGAACUGCAUUGGUGACUGGCAGGCUAGAGUAUGGCAGAGGGGGGUAGAAUUCCACGUGUAGCAGUGAAAUGCGUAGAGAUGUGGAGGAAUACCGAUGGCGAAAGGCAGCCCCCUGGGGCCAAAUACUGACGCUCAUGCACGAAAAGCGUGGGGGAGCAAACAGGAUUAGAUACCCUGGUAGUCCAGCGCCCUAAAACGAUGUCAACUAGUUGUUGGGGGAUUCAUUUCCUUAGUAACGUAGCUAACGCGUGAAGUUGACCGCCUGGGGAGUACGGUCGCAAGAUUAAAACUCAAAUGAAUUGACGGGGUCAUA
This 583-nucleotide ribosomal RNA is filed under the name uncultured bacterium. RNAcentral's name for it is "partial 16S ribosomal RNA". It matches the Rfam family "Bacterial small subunit ribosomal RNA", at positions 355 to 923 of the family's 1533-position model. The record is from RNAcentral.